RNAcentral lists this ribosomal RNA (761 nucleotides) under uncultured bacterium. RNAcentral's name for it is "bacterial SSU rRNA". It matches the Rfam family "Bacterial small subunit ribosomal RNA", at positions 48 to 828 of the family's 1533-position model. The record is from RNAcentral.
ACCAAAGAAGCAGCCAGCUUGCUGGAAGCGGAAAAGGGAAAGGCUUAGUGGCGGACGGGUGAGUAACGCGUGGGUAACCUGGCCCAUACAGGGGGAUAACACUUAGAAAUAGGUGCUAAUACCGCAUAACAACAGAAAGCGCAUGCUUUUUGUUUGAAAACCAAGGUGGUAUGGGAUGGACCCGCGUCUGAUUAGCUGGUUGGCGGGGUAAAGGCCCACCAAGGCGACGAUCAGUAGCCGGCCUGAGAGGGUGGACGGCCACAUUGGGACUGAGACACGGCCCAAACUCCUACGGGAGGCAGCAGUGGGGAAUAUUGCACAAUGGGGGAAACCCUGAUGCAGCGACGCCGCGUGAGUGAAGAAGUAAUUCGUUAUGUAAAGCUCUAUCAGCAGGGAAGAAAAUGACGGUACCUGAGUAAGAAGCCCCGGCUAACUACGUGCCAGCAGCCGCGGUAAUACGUAGGGGGCAAGCGUUAUCCGGAUUUACUGGGUGUAAAGGGAGCGUAGACGGCAGUGCAAGUCUGGAGUGAAAGGCGGGGGCUCAACCCCCGGACUGCUCUGGAAACUGUACGGCUGGAGUGCAGGAGAGGUAAGUGGAAUUCCUAGUGUAGCGGUGAAAUGCGUAGAUAUUAGGAGGAACACCAGUGGCGAAGGCGGCUUACUGGACUGUAACUGACGUUGAGGCUCGAAAGCGUGGGGAGCAAACAGGAUUAGAUACCCUGGUAGUCCACGCCGUAAACGAUGAUCACUAGGUGUCGGGG